This 433-nucleotide ribosomal RNA is filed under the name uncultured bacterium. RNAcentral describes it as "partial 16S ribosomal RNA". It matches the Rfam family "Bacterial small subunit ribosomal RNA", at positions 29 to 507 of the family's 1533-position model. The record is from RNAcentral.
AACGAACGCUGGCGGCAUGCCUAACACAUGCAAGUCGUACGAGACCUUCGGGUCUAGUUGCGCACGGGUGCGUAACGCGUGGGAACCUGCCCUUAGGUUCGGAAUAACUCCCCGAAAGGGGUGCUAAUACCGGAUAAUGUCUUCGGACCAAAGAUUUAUCGCCUUUGGAUGGGCCCGCGUUGGAUUAGCUAGUUGGUAGGGUAAAAGCCUACCAAGGCGACGAUCCAUAGCUGGUCUGAGAGGAUGAUCAGCCACACUGGGACUGAGACACGGCCCAGACUCCUACGGGAGGCAGCAGUGGGGAAUAUUGGACAAUGGGCGAAAGCCUGAUCCAGCAAUGCCGCGUGAGUGAUGAAGGCCUUAGGGUUGUAAAGCUCUUUUACCCGGGAUGAUAAUGACAGUACCGGGAGAAUAAGCACCGGCUAACUCCGUG